This 497-nucleotide ribosomal RNA is filed under the name uncultured bacterium. RNAcentral describes it as "partial 16S ribosomal RNA". It matches the Rfam family "Bacterial small subunit ribosomal RNA", at positions 28 to 507 of the family's 1533-position model. The record is from RNAcentral.
GAUGAACGCUGGCGGCGUGCCUAAUACAUGCAAGUCGAGCGAACAGACGAGGAGCUUGCUCCUCUGACGUUAGCGGCGGACGGGUGAGUAACACGUGGAUAACCUACCUAUAAGACUGGGAUAACUUCGGGAAACCGGAACUAAUACCGGAUAAUAUAUUGAACCGCAUGGUUCAAUAGUGAAAGACGGUUUUGCCGUCACUUAUAGAUGGAUCCGCGCCGCAUUAGCUAGUUGGUAAGGUAACGGCUUACCAAGGCAACGAUGCGUAGCCGACCUGAGAGGGUGAUCGGCCACACUGGAACUGAGACACGGUCCAGACUCCUACGGGAGGCAGCAGUAGGGAAUCUUCCGCAAUGGGCGAAAGCCUGACGGAGCAACGCCGCGUGAGUGAUGAAGGUCUUCGGAUCGUAAAACUCUGUUAUUAGGGAAGAACAAAUGUGUAAGUAACUAUGCACGUCUUGACGGUACCUAAUCAGAAAGCCACGGCUAACUACGUG